Molecule: non-coding RNA, 592 nt
Organism: Caenorhabditis elegans
Lineage: Eukaryota; Metazoa; Nematoda; Chromadorea; Rhabditida; Rhabditidae
Source: Ensembl
UCAACUAUCUUUGGAUUUUAUUCGAUCUCCAAAAAGAACACACGACGGUCUGGAGUUGAAUUGGAACGAGAUCUCACUCUAAAGAUCUCGAACGACGAUGAAUCGGGAUGGAUCGAUGGAUUCGAACGGGAUGAUGGAUCGGGAUGAACGACGACGACAAAGACAAAGGAUCGGGUUCACAACUUGUUGUGGACAACUCGACUUUCCAGUUCUACCAUACUGUUCCCUUUAUGUCGCACUUGCGCCGGAUGCUGGUUUUCCGAUGACCUGAACUUUUUGGAUCAACACGGUCAAGUUGCUUACUCUGUUAAGGCAAAGGGAGUGACUAUGAACUUGUAGAAAUGGGGAAAACGUUUCCUUUUUCAACAUGAAGUCAGUGAUUUCUCAGGAAUCGAUGAGGUUCGAAAAUUAGCCGCCUACACAACACAUCCACUGUACGUUGACACCGAAUCGUCCUAUUUUUGAAAAAAGGAACACAGCUAGCGUUGAUCUCUAUGCGACCCCACACAACGGCUCAUUAUGGUGAUUCAAACAUCUCUCCUCGUCCUUCUAUUCUCAAGGGUUUUGAAACCUUAAUUUUUUAAUGUCAUUU